Oryza sativa Japonica Group (Japanese rice) is the source of this 2429-nucleotide non-coding RNA. NCBI's taxonomy places the organism in Eukaryota, Viridiplantae, Streptophyta, Magnoliopsida, Poales, Poaceae. The record is from RefSeq and is a predicted model, not a curated record.
UCAAGACACUGUUGUAACAGUGCCUUUCUGCUGUUACAGCAGAGGACCUGGUUGCCGAGGAUACCGUCCCCCGUGCGGCGUGCGCGACCAAGCCGCCAUGGCCGAGCUCUGACACUCGGCGCGUCGAGGCGAUAGGCGUACGGUUUGACAAUUCAGGGCCUGAGCUUGCAUAGUUGCAUUGCAUCCUCUGCUCCGAUGGAAGAAGCUACAAAUGCCGGCCCGAGAAUAUCCCUACGAUUAAUUCCGUCGCGCUCUCCGCCCGCACGCGCGGCGUGGCGCGGCGCGGCGCGGCGGCGUCUCCUACAAAUGGCGAGCGCCCGACGGAGAAGAGAGCUGAGGCUUAUCGAGUCCGAGGCUUCUGAGCCUGCUUGUUGCCGCCGCUACUGGCUGCCGAUCUGCUGCAGUUGGGGGGGUCUCCCAUGGCGGCGGAGGUCGGGAUUGGAAGGGCGACCUGCGCGGCGUGGGCGCGGCGGCGGGGCGGGGGCGGCCCGGCACGCCUCCUCGUCGUGUACGGCCGCGCCUCCACGGCAUCGUCCCCGCCGCGCAUCGACCUCCACGCGUUCGACGCCGGCGCCUCCGCCGUCGCCGCCGACCCCCUGGUGAGCUUCGUGAUGGGACACGAGGAAGACGACGCCCCGCGCGCGAUCGCCGUGCACCCGAGCGGCGACGAGUUCGUCUGCGCCACCGCGAAAGGGUGCAGGUUAUUCAAGCUGGUGACUGAAGAAUCCAGUGUUCACCUUAUUUCAAAGGAUGCUCCAACUCUGCAAUCAAUUGGACCUCAGAAAUGUCUGUCAUUCAGUACAGAUGGUGCGAAGUUUGCUGUUGGUGGUGAGGAUGGGCAUCUUAGAAUAUUUCAUUGGCCAGAUCUGAAUUUGCUUCUGGGUGAACCAAAAGCUCAUAAAUCUUUCAGAGACAUGGACAUUAGCUUAGACUCCGAGUUGUUAGUCUCAACAUCCACUGAUGGUUCUGCAAGAAUAUGGAAUAUAGAUGAGGGAGCGCCGCUUGUCAAUUUGAGUAGAUCUUCGGAUGAGAAGAUUGAGUGCUGCUGCUUUUCUAGGGAUGGAAAUAAACCUUUCCUGUUCUGCACACUUGUGAAAGGUCAUAACGUUGUGACUGUGGUUUUGGACAUAAGUAAUUGGAAGAGGAUCGGGUACAAGAGGCUUUUGGAAAAGCAUAUCUCCACACUUUCAGUAAGCUUGGAUGGAAAGUAUCUCGCAUUAGGAAGCCAUGAUAGUGAUUUCUGCGUUGUGGAUGUUAAAAAGAUGGAAGUUUUGCACUUGAGCAAGAAGGUUCAUCUUGGCUCUCCAAUUUCAUCAAUUGAAUUUUGUCCUACAGAAAGGUAAUUAUAACCAUUGGUCUUUGUUGGAAGAAGUAGUGAGACAAACCGAAAAUCUCUAGCAGUAAAAUAGUUGGCUUCACUAAGCAUCCAAGCACUUAGUAAUGGUCUCUGGUUGUACCAAUGUUGAAAUUUUUAGCAGUAAAUUGUCUUCACUAGUAAUUUGUUCAGUGCUAGAAUUCUUGAAGAUACUCUGAAGAUCCAGCAUUAAGGUAUUAGAUUGCCCACAUGCCUUCUCAACAUGUUAAAAAAUGGAUCACACAACACGAUGGUAGGUAGAUAAGCGAGCUAUGGUAUCAGCAUUAUGCAUGGCUAAUUUGCAUAUACAUGGGGGCAGGAUGGAGCAAGAUUUGUCCUCCACCAGUUCACCUUGCCCCUGAAAUUUAAAAGGAAAUUGUGGAUUGGUUUUACUCUGCAUUUCUGCAGUCUGCACUGCAAUUGCAGAUCCAUAUGUGAAUGAAGAUUUGUCACAUCAACUCUGUUCAUAAGCAAACAUACGGAUGCUUAAUGUUGUUUUCUGAAAUUACUGUACAUUUUGGAUGGCAAUGCUGCAGAUUUUUGAAGUACUGCUGGAUAGUUACAGUAGCAAUUGUCUGCUUGUAUUGCAGGGUUGUAAUCUCCACUUCUCAUAAAUGGGGAGCAGAGUGUGGCAAAUGUGGUUAGUACUCUCGUGUCUGUUUGUCACGUCGGCCAUCCUAUUCUAUGCGUUCUUCAAACACGUGGUCCAUUUGGAACCCUAAAGAACAGAAUCUGGAGGAGAAAAAUCAUAAGUUUCUGACGAUCAGAAAUUCAGAAUCCAUUGUAACACCAGCAUGGCUAACAGCGAUAGCUCCAUUGUCAUGAUGAGCGCUUGCUCUAUUUGCCACUAUUCAUUUCUGAUGACUAUUUGCCAUUAUUCCUUUCUAAUGACUGUUCACCUGUUCCAAUUUCCAACCCUUAAUCCCUGAAAAUAUUGUCAUCAGAGCUUUGUGCCUGAAUUUAUUUCACAAUUUUUUAUCGCUCGAUAAGUCAAUACAUAACAGAACUGUCUCUUUCAUGACGAUGAAUGACUGAAUGUAUCUCCGACCACAAUAAAUCAAAGGCGUUUGGUCUU